Molecule: long non-coding RNA, 321 nt
Filed under: Citrus maxima (pomelo)
Lineage: Eukaryota; Viridiplantae; Streptophyta; Magnoliopsida; Sapindales; Rutaceae
Description: long non-coding RNA (CMAX_LNC003892)
Source: RNAcentral
UGAACCCGAUUAGGUUGAAUUCUCCAAAUUUAAUGGGUUGAAACCCAAACCGAAACUCGAACAACCUGAACCGAAAUCUGAUUUGCCCACCCCUAAUACACACACAUUCAAGGGUUGAUGGUGGGUUCUAGUUGUCAAAUGGAGAGAAAAUCUUGUGGCCACUGUAGACAAUCCAUUUAACUAGUGAGAAUAUAUAACAUAUGUACUUUUAUCAAGAUAUAACUAUUUAUCAUUUCUUUAGUUGUUUUUUUUCUCAUAGACACCUCUCUCUUAAAUCAUAGUUGCUUUUGGUCAUUUUCGCUUGUAGACCUAGCCUAAGAU